RNAcentral lists this long non-coding RNA (855 nucleotides) under Olea europaea subsp. europaea. The record is from RNAcentral. Lineage: Eukaryota; Viridiplantae; Streptophyta; Magnoliopsida; Lamiales; Oleaceae.
AUCAAAAAAUAAUUUAUUAAGCCAACAUACCAACAAGAAGUCAUCAAACCGAAAGGGCAACAUUUUAACAAUAAUUAAUUAACUAAUUUACCGACAAGACAAAUUAGCGCUUGUCUGGAGGAGAUUAUGAGUGGAUUUUUAUUACUUUUCCUACCGUUUCAAUGUGUGUUGAGGAAGCACCUGCAAUUUCAAAAUCAAUCCAGCCGUCGCAAUUGUUGAACAAAUUGAAGUUCAAAUAUAUUUUAAUAUUUAAAUAACUGAAAUUGCCCUUUAGUACUUCUUAAAAUUUUUGGGCUAGGGGGCAUUAUUGGUAAAUCAAUCUGUAAAAGUUAUGAUAGUUUCCUUUUUGUCAAAAAUUGCGGCUGCUUCCGUGGGUCAUCAAUUGAGGCUGCUUCCACAGGUCAUCAAUUAAGGCUGCAUCUUUGGUUCAACGUCCAAUGGUCGGAAAAUUGCUAAAAUUUUUUGCCAAGUGCUUAGAUAAGUAGACAAUAUUCAAUUUCAAUAUUUGCCCGGCAAGGCGAUAAGUUGAUAGAUGAGGUCAUUUACUUAAUAUGGUGUAUUCAAGCUUUUGCUUUUCCUACAUAUUUGCGGGACUAUGUAUGUGCUUUGAAAUAUUAACACUUUCGGAAUUCGAAAAUAAUUCAAUAAAGCCUUAAGCCUGUUGACAAUCAAGAGGAAUUUCAAUAUUCGAUGCUACCUUAAGAGCCAAAUUUAUAUUAAUCAAUGACAUUUUGAUUGUGCAAAAAUGACUUUUGAAAUGACCAAUUCUUCAUAUCAUAACUUUUUAAAAAAAUGAAAUCAUCAAACGAAAGUUCAUAAAAAUCAAGAAUUGAUACACCAAUUAGAAGAAAAAGC